RNAcentral lists this ribosomal RNA (253 nucleotides) under uncultured bacterium. RNAcentral's name for it is "partial 16S ribosomal RNA". It matches the Rfam family "Bacterial small subunit ribosomal RNA", at positions 524 to 776 of the family's 1533-position model. The record is from RNAcentral.
UACGUAGGGUGCGAGCGUUAAUCGGAAUUACUGGGCGUAAAGGGUGCGCAGGCGGUCCUGCAAGUCAGGCGUGAAAUCCCUGGGCUUAACCUGGGAAUGGCACUUGAAACUACGGGACUGGAGUAUGGCAGAGGGAGGUGGAAUUCCACGUGUAGCGGUGAAAUGCGUAGAGAUGUGGAGGAACACCGAUGGCGAAGGCAGCCUCCUGGGCCAAUACUGACGCUCAUGCACGAAAGCGUGGGGAGCAAACAGG